Molecule: ribosomal RNA, 2905 nt
Filed under: Salmonella enterica subsp. diarizonae
Lineage: Bacteria; Pseudomonadati; Pseudomonadota; Gammaproteobacteria; Enterobacterales; Enterobacteriaceae
Description: bacterial LSU rRNA
Rfam family: Bacterial large subunit ribosomal RNA
Source: RNAcentral
UUAAGCGACCAAGCGUACACGGUGGAUGCCCUGGCAGUCAGAGGCGAUGAAGGACGUGCUAAUCUGCGAAAAGCGCCGGUAAGGUGAUAUGAACCGUUAUAACCGGCGAUGUCCGAAUGGGGAAACCCAGUGUGACUCGUCACACUAUCAUUAACUGAAUCCAUAGGUUAAUGAGGCGAACCGGGGGAACUGAAACAUCUAAGUACCCCGAGGAAAAGAAAUCAACCGAGAUUCCCCCAGUAGCGGCGAGCGAACGGGGAGGAGCCCAGAGCCUGAAUCAGCAUGUGUGUUAGUGGAAGCGUCUGGAAAGGCGCGCGAUACAGGGUGAGAGCCCCGUACACAAAAGCGCAUAUGCUGUGAGCUCGAUGAGUAGGGCGGGACACGUGGUAUCCUGUCUGAAUAUGGGGGGACCAUCCUCCAAGGCUAAAUACUCCUGACUGACCGAUAGUGAACCAGUACCGUGAGGGAAAGGCGAAAAGAACCCCGGCGAGGGGAGUGAAACAGAACCUGAAACCGUGUACGUACAAGCAGUGGGAGCCUCUCUUUAUGGGGGGUGACUGCGUACCUUUUGUAUAAUGGGUCAGCGACUUAUAUUCUGUAGCAAGGUUAACCGCAUAGGGGAGCCGAAGGGAAACCGAGUCUUAAUUGGGCGUUAAGUUGCAGGGUAUAGACCCGAAACCCGGUGAUCUAGCCAUGGGCAGGUUGAAGGUUGGGUAACACUAACUGGAGGACCGAACCGACUAAUGUUGAAAAAUUAGCGGAUGACCUGUGGCUGGGGGUGAAAGGCCAAUCAAACCGGGAGAUAGCUGGUUCUCCCCGAAAGCUAUUUAGGUAGCGCCUCGUGAACUCAUCUCCGGGGGUAGAGCACUGUUUCGGCUAGGGGGCCAUCCCGGCUUACCAACCCGAUGCAAACUGCGAAUACCGGAGAAUGUUAUCACGGGAGACACACGGCGGGUGCUAACGUCCGUCGUGAAGAGGGAAACAACCCAGACCGCCAGCUAAGGUCCCAAAGUCAUGGUUAAGUGGGAAACGAUGUGGGAAGGCCCAGACAGCCAGGAUGUUGGCUUAGAAGCAGCCAUCAUUUAAAGAAAGCGUAAUAGCUCACUGGUCGAGUCGGCCUGCGCGGAAGAUGUAACGGGGCUAAACCAUGCACCGAAGCUGCGGCAGCGACACUUUAGUGUUGUUGGGUAGGGGAGCGUUCUGUAAGCCGUUGAAGGUGUCCUGUGAGGGGUGCUGGAGGUAUCAGAAGUGCGAAUGCUGACAUAAGUAACGAUAAAGCGGGUGAAAAGCCCGCUCGCCGGAAGACCAAGGGUUCCUGUCCAACGUUAAUCGGGGCAGGGUGAGUCGACCCCUAAGGCGAGGCCGAAAGGCGUAGUCGAUGGGAAACGGGUUAAUAUUCCCGUACUUGGUGUUACUGCGAAGGGGGGACGGAGAAGGCUAUGUUGGCCGGGCGACGGUUGUCCCGGUUUAAGCGUGUAGGCUGGUUUUCCAGGCAAAUCCGGAAAAUCAAGGCUGAGGCGUGAUGACGAGGCACUACGGUGCUGAAGCAACAAAUGCCCUGCUUCCAGGAAAAGCCUCUAAGCAUCAGGUAACAUCAAAUCGUACCCCAAACCGACACAGGUGGUCAGGUAGAGAAUACCAAGGCGCUUGAGAGAACUCGGGUGAAGGAACUAGGCAAAAUGGUGCCGUAACUUCGGGAGAAGGCACGCUGACACGUAGGUGAAGUGAUUUACUCAUGGAGCUGAAGUCAGUCGAAGAUACCAGCUGGCUGCAACUGUUUAUUAAAAACACAGCACUGUGCAAACACGAAAGUGGACGUAUACGGUGUGACGCCUGCCCGGUGCCGGAAGGUUAAUUGAUGGGGUCAGCGCAAGCGAAGCUCCUGAUCGAAGCCCCGGUAAACGGCGGCCGUAACUAUAACGGUCCUAAGGUAGCGAAAUUCCUUGUCGGGUAAGUUCCGACCUGCACGAAUGGCGUAAUGAUGGCCAGGCUGUCUCCACCCGAGACUCAGUGAAAUUGAACUCGCUGUGAAGAUGCAGUGUACCCGCGGCAAGACGGAAAGACCCCGUGAACCUUUACUAUAGCUUGACACUGAACAUUGAGCCUUGAUGUGUAGGAUAGGUGGGAGGCUUUGAAGCGUGGACGCCAGUCUGCGUGGAGCCGACCUUGAAAUACCACCCUUUAAUGUUUGAUGUUCUAACGUGGACCCGUAAUCCGGGUUGCGGACAGUGUCUGGUGGGUAGUUUGACUGGGGCGGUCUCCUCCUAAAGAGUAACGGAGGAGCACGAAGGUUGGCUAAUCCUGGUCGGACAUCAGGAGGUUAGUGCAAUGGCAUAAGCCAGCUUGACUGCGAGCGUGACGGCGCGAGCAGGUGCGAAAGCAGGUCAUAGUGAUCCGGUGGUUCUGAAUGGAAGGGCCAUCGCUCAACGGAUAAAAGGUACUCCGGGGAUAACAGGCUGAUACCGCCCAAGAGUUCAUAUCGACGGCGGUGUUUGGCACCUCGAUGUCGGCUCAUCACAUCCUGGGGCUGAAGUAGGUCCCAAGGGUAUGGCUGUUCGCCAUUUAAAGUGGUACGCGAGCUGGGUUUAGAACGUCGUGAGACAGUUCGGUCCCUAUCUGCCGUGGGCGCUGGAAGACUGAGGGGGGCUGCUCCUAGUACGAGAGGACCGGAGUGGACGCAUCACUGGUGUUCGGGUUGUCAUGCCAAUGGCACUGCCCGGUAGCUAAAUGCGGAAAAGAUAAGUGCUGAAAGCAUCUAAGCACGAAACUUGCCCCGAGAUGAGUCUUCCCUGAGACUUUGAGUCUCCUGAAGGAACGUUAAAGACGAUGACGUUGAUAGGCCGGGUGUGUAAGCGCAGCGAUGCGUUGAGCUAACCGGUACUAAUGAACCGUGAGGCUUAACCUU